RNAcentral lists this long non-coding RNA (875 nucleotides) under Piliocolobus tephrosceles (Ugandan red Colobus). Its description in RNAcentral is "lncRNA (ENSPTEG00000023855.1)". The record is from RNAcentral. Lineage: Eukaryota; Metazoa; Chordata; Mammalia; Primates; Cercopithecidae.
UGGGAGCAGGGGCCUCUGUGAACAGUUUUACCUGGAAGAGAACCCCUCUCAGACCUAGACCUCCCUCGCGAGCUUCAGAGCAGAGGCAGAAGAGCCCACAGAGCAGCAGAUCCUAGAUGUGUAUGGUCAGAAGCAUUUCUUGAUCCUACUUCCCAGAUAGAGUCAGACUUGGUGGUGAAGCCUCCAGAAGCCACCACAGAAUGGGUGACAGUGGGUGGUUUGGGCCAGCUUUGAGAAGAGCAAAAUGAGCUGGGUGGGGGCCAGGGACAGGCUGCUCAGGAAAGGCCACAUCAUUGCAGAGGUCUGGGGGUAGGGGUAACCAGAGAGUCUGUUCCCAGAUCCCAAAGUAGCCCCCAGUCCCUUUGUUCUCCACUCUUUACAGAUGCCAUACUGCUGUUAACACAUGUGACACUGGAGAAUCCCAGCAUGAUGAUACAUGAAGAGUUUUCUGUGGUUAUCUACUUCUGAUUCUUUUGAAAGCUUUAAAGACAUUGGGCAUGAAAGGUUCGCUGAGGCUUCACAGUUCUCUACACUCUCCCAAGAGCCACAGACAAUGAACACAUUUCAGGUAAGCUCUUUAUUCAUUCCCCACUUUGUAUUGUAAUGGAUUUAUGAGGUGUAGAUGGGUCCUUGCAUUAAAUGGAAAAGGAGAAAUAGAUCGAGAAAAUCUUGAGGGAAAAUAUAUACAGUUUUACCAUGAACUCUUGUUUGCUGUCAGCUUUUGGUAAAUAAUGUUUGUCAGGGUUAGUAGGUUCCCUCCAGUUACCAGUUUGCCAAGAUCUCAUGCUAGUUAUGAAUGCACAUUGAAUUAUAUUAAAUACUUUUUGUAUAUCUAUUAGAAUAAAUGUAUAGCUGUGUCCUUUAAUGAAUCUGUA